Non-coding RNA from Ciona savignyi (Pacific transparent sea squirt), 247 nucleotides. NCBI's taxonomy places the organism in Eukaryota, Metazoa, Chordata, Ascidiacea, Phlebobranchia, Cionidae. The record is from Rfam.
UUAUUUCCCUUGAACGAGGAAUUCCCAGUAAGCGCGAGUCAUUAGCUCGCGUUGAUUACGUCCCUGCCCUUUGUACACACCGCCCGUCGCUACUACCGAUUGAAUGGUUUAGUGAGGUCCUCCGAUUGGACCCGGUCCGGGCGGCGACGUCCGAGCCGGCGUCCGAGAAGACGAUCUAACUUGAUCAUUUAGAGGAAGUAAAAGUCGUAACAAGGUUUCCGUAGGUGAACCUGCGGAAGGAUCAUUA